Molecule: ribosomal RNA, 1940 nt
Filed under: human gut metagenome
Description: bacterial LSU rRNA
Rfam family: Bacterial large subunit ribosomal RNA
Source: RNAcentral
UUAAGCUAGUAAGAGCGUAGGGUGAAUGCCUAGGUACCAAGAGACGAAGAAAGACGUGAUAAGCUGCGAAAAGCUAUGGGGAGGUGCAAAUAACCAGAGAACCAUAGAUAUCUGAAUGGGGGAACCUACUAGGGAAAAGAACCUAGAGUCUGCAUAUGAAUAAAAUAGUAUGCAAGAAGGUAUACGGAGUGAACUGAAACAUCUAAGUAACUCCAGGAAAAGAAAGAGAAAUCGAUUCCGAAAGUAGUGGCGAGCGAAAUCGGAAGAGCCCAAACCAUGAGUAGAAAUACAUGUGGGGUUGAGGACUACAGGAAGCUAACAGGAAUCAUAGAAGAAUUGUAUUGGGAAAGCAAACCAGAGAGAGUGAAAGUCUCGUAAUCGAAAUGAUGAGAGUGGUGAGUAGAAUCCAGAGUACGGCAAGACACGAGAAAUCUUGUCGGAAGCAGGCCGGACCACCGGCCAAGGCUAAAUACUAAUUGGUAACCGAUAGAGAAGAAGUACCGUGAGGGAAAGUUGAAAAGAACCCCGGGAGGGGAGUGAAAUAGAACCUGAAACCCUAUGUUUACAAGCAGAUAGAGAGCGUUAAGGCUCGAUAUCGUACUUUUUGUAGAACGGUCCAGCGAGUUAUGUGUAUGAUGCGAGGUUAAAUACUAAGUGAGGUAUGGAGCCGAAGGGAAACCGAGUUUGAAAAGAGCGAAAGAAAGAGUAUCAUGCAAUAGACCCGAAACCGUGUGACCUAUCCAUGAGCAGGUUGAAACUUGAGUAAAAUCAAGCGGAGGACCGAACCGGUAUUCGUUGAAAAGGAUUCGGAUGACUUGUGGAUAGAGGAGAAAUUCCAAUCGAACACGGAGAUAGCUGGUUCUCCUCGAAAUAGCUUUAGGGCUAGCCUUGUUUAGUAGCAUGUGGAGGUAAAGCACUGAAUGUGUGAGGGGUCAUACCAGAUUACCAAACACUAUCAAACUAAGAAUGCCAUGUGUGUAAGAACAGGAGUCAGACAGUGACAGCUAAGUGCCAUUGUCAAAAGGGAAAGAGCCCAGACCAACAGCUAAGGUCCCAAAAUUAUAGUUAAGUGGAAAAGGAUGUGGGAAUUCAUAGACAACCAGGAUGUUGGCUUAGAAGCAGCCAUGCAUUUAAAGAGUGCGUAAUAGCUCACUGGUCGAAGUAGUCCUGCGCCGAAAAUUACCGGGGCUAAACUAUAUACCGAAGCUUUGGAUUUGUAUACAGAAGUAUAUGAGUGGUAGAGGAGCGUUGUGUACGGGAAGAAGUCAUACCGAGAGGAGUGGUGGACUGUACACAAGAGAGAAUGCUGGAAUAAGUAGCGAGAGCACAGUGAGAAUCUGUGCCACCGAAAACCUAAGGUUUCCUGGGGAAGGUUCGUCCGCCCAGGGUAAGUCGGGGCCUAAGAUGAGGCUGAGAAGCGUAGUCGAUGGGAAGCAGGUAAAAGAUUCCUGCACUACAAAUACGUGAUGAAGAGUUAAUGACGCAUGCUAAGAAGAUAAGCGAACAAAUGGAAAAGUUCGUAUCGAAAGAUGGAGUGAAAGAAAGUAGCGAAGUAUCAGGAGAGUGUGACAAGAAAAGUUAACGUGGAGCGUAGGAGUACUCGUACCGUAAACCGACACAGGUAGGAAGAAAGAGAAUUUUCAGGUGAGCGAGAUAAAUAUUGUUAAGGAACUCGGCAAAUUAACCCCGUAACUUAGGGAUAAGGGGAGCCAACGAGAGUUGGUCGCAGUGAAAAGGCCCAAGCAACUGUUUAACAAAAACAUAGGUUUCUGCGAAAUCGAAAGAUGAAGUAUAGGAGCUGACGCCUGCCCAGUGCUGGAAGGUCAAGUGGAAAAGUAAGUGUGAAAAUGCGAAGCUUUGAAAUUAAGCCCCAGUGAACGGCGGCCGUAACUAUAACGGUCCUAAGGUAGCGAAAUUCCUUGUCAGGUAAGUUCUGACCC